This 440-nucleotide ribosomal RNA is filed under the name uncultured bacterium. RNAcentral describes it as "partial 16S ribosomal RNA". It matches the Rfam family "Bacterial small subunit ribosomal RNA", at positions 338 to 795 of the family's 1533-position model. The record is from RNAcentral.
CCUACGGGAGGCAGCAGUGGGGAAUAUUGCACAAUGGGGGGAACCCUGAUGCAGCGACGCCGCGUGAGUGAAGAAGUAUUUCGGUAUGUAACGCUCUAUCAGCAGGGAAGAAAAUGACGGUACCUGACUACGAAGCCCCGGCUAACUACGUGCCAGCAGCCGCGGUAAUACGUAGGGGGCAAGCGUUAGCCGGAUUUACUGGGGGUAAAGGGAGCGCAGACGGCUGUGCAAGUCUGGAGUGAAAGGCGGGGGCCCAACCCCCGGACUGCUCUGGAAACUGUAAAGCUGGAGUGCAGGAGAGGUAAGCGGAAUUCCUAGUGUAGCGGUGAAAUGCGUAGAUAUUAGGAGGAACACCAGUGGCGAAGGCGGCUUACUGGACUGCAACUGACGUUGAGGCUCGAAAGCGUGGGGAGCAAACAGGAUUAGAUACCCCUGUAGUC